RNAcentral lists this transfer RNA (69 nucleotides) under Ophthalmitis albosignaria. RNAcentral's name for it is "tRNA-Phe". The record is from RNAcentral. Lineage: Eukaryota; Metazoa; Arthropoda; Insecta; Lepidoptera; Geometridae.
AUUUAAAUAGCUUAUAAUUAUAGAGUAUAAUAUUGAAGAUAUUAGGGAGAUAUAUUUUAUCUUUAAAUA